This 497-nucleotide ribosomal RNA is filed under the name uncultured bacterium. RNAcentral's name for it is "partial 16S ribosomal RNA". It matches the Rfam family "Bacterial small subunit ribosomal RNA", at positions 28 to 507 of the family's 1533-position model. The record is from RNAcentral.
GAUGAACGCUGGCGGCGUGCCUAAUACAUGCAAGUCGAGCGAACAGACGAGGAGCUUGCUCCUCUGACGUUAGCGGCGGACGGGUGAGUAACACGUGGAUAACCUACCUAUAAGACUGGGAUAACUUCGGGAAACCGGAGCUAAUACCGGAUAAUAUAUUGAACCGCAUGGUUCAAUAGUGAAAGACGGUUUUGCUGUCACUUAUAGAUGGAUCCGCGCCGCAUUAGCUAGUUGGUAAGGUAACGGCUUACCAAGGCAACGAUGCGUAGCCGACCUGAGAGGGUGAUCGGCCACACUGGAACUGAGACACGUUCCAGACUCCUACGGGAGGCAGCAGUAGGGAAUCUUCCGCAAUGGGCGAAAGCCUGACGGAGCAACGCCGCGUGAGUGAUGAAGGUCUUCGGAUCGUAAAGCUCUGUUAUUAGGGAAGAACAAAUGUGUAAGUAACUAUGCACGUCUUGACGGUACCUAAUCAGAAAGCCACGGCUAACUACGUG